Molecule: long non-coding RNA, 146 nt
Organism: Etheostoma spectabile (orangethroat darter)
Lineage: Eukaryota; Metazoa; Chordata; Actinopteri; Perciformes; Percidae
Exons: 3
Source: RefSeq, a predicted model, not a curated record
AGGAUUUUAAUUAAAAAUGGGACGCUUGAUAUUGGACUAUAGUUGUCCAUUACUGACAUAUCUAGAUUGUGCUUUUUUUAAAGAUUGGCUUGAUGACUGCAGUUUUCAGUGCCUGUGGGAAGAUACCUGAUAGCAGGGAUGUGUUU